GACGAACGCUGGCGGCGUGCCUAACACAUGCAAGUCGAGCGGAGAUUGAGGAAGAGCUUGCUCAGAAUCAAUCUUAGCGGCGGACGGGUGAGUAACGCGUGAGCAACCUGCCUCGAACUGGGGGAUAACGCAUCGAAAGAUGUGCUAAUACCGCGUAAGACCACAGUACCACAUGGUACAGGGGUCAAAGGAGCAAUCCGGUUUGAGAUGGGCUCGCGUCCGAUUAGCUAGUUGGCGGGGUAACGGCCCACCUAGGCAACGAUGGGUAGCCGAGCUGAGAGGCUGAUCGGCCACACUGGGACUGAGAUACGGCCCAGACUCCUACGGGAGGCAGCAGGGGGGAAUAUUGCACAAUGGGGGAAACCCUGAUGCAGCGACGCCGCGUGAACGAAGAAGUA
This 398-nucleotide ribosomal RNA is filed under the name uncultured bacterium. RNAcentral describes it as "bacterial SSU rRNA". It matches the Rfam family "Bacterial small subunit ribosomal RNA", at positions 28 to 415 of the family's 1533-position model. The record is from RNAcentral.